Long non-coding RNA from Ficedula albicollis (Collared flycatcher), 1080 nucleotides. RefSeq lists it as uncharacterized. Lineage: Eukaryota; Metazoa; Chordata; Aves; Passeriformes; Muscicapidae. The transcript is spliced from 3 exons. The record is from RefSeq and is a predicted model, not a curated record.
CCUGAGAUAAGAAACAACAACCAACCAUGAAAACCUCUAAGAACAGCCUCCUGCAGUCUCUCAUCAGCGGGCAUUGGAAAGAGCUGAGUUCCAGACCACCUUUAUGUCCUCCUGAGGUGAUCUCAGGUCUAAGGAGACACCUCGUGCAGUGACAUUUGGCGUCCCCCUGGGUGGGCAGAGACACUUGGCGUCCCUCUGCGUGGGCCGCAGCCUACAAAGGUGGGAGCGGACCCUUGGACCCUGAAAACCGAGCUCCAGAAGAGGCACGCCUUGAAGAGGAGGAGAUUUCUGGCCCUUUGCCAAGAAAAGCCGAGUUCCAGAUGCGAGUCGGAGAGGAGGUAUCCUGGGAAUCCUCGCUCCUGUGCACUGCUGGUUGGUUUCAGGAACUUCUGAAUUGAUUUUGGACAAAUUGCUUUUGGCAUUUGCAGGCAGCUGCCCGGACAGAGGCGACCCGGAGAAAACUCGGGCACAGCAGCGUGAGGUCACCAGCCCGGGGCUCACUGAGGGAGGGGGGCACAGCAUCCCCGCUGCUCCCUCCCACCAUGUACAGGUCAAGGGCUGCAGAGAGGAGGAGGGAUGGGGGAUGGAGAGACGCCAAGAGCUGCUUUAUCUGCAUUGUGGAGGACAAACAGAGCAAGGGAACACGAGAGAGGACUGAGAUGGGUGCCAGCGAGGUACACGAGGCCAUGUCGGGCCCAGGCGCGGGCAGAUGCCAGCCCUGGAAGCGAAGGGGUGAGCUCACAGAUUGAAUCAGAAACAAAGAUCGUGAACUCCUCUCCGGAGAGCACGUGGAGAACUUGGGAGCUGAAAACGAACAUGUUUAUUCAGACAGUUUCAUGUUUCAAUUUUUUGUCAAUUGUGCUAAGUAACAUUGUGGAAAGAAUAGGGUUAUAUAUAUUAGUGGGGCUUGUUGCUCUUCUCAUCGUUUUGCUGUGCAUCAUCCAGUGCAUUCAGCAUGCCAUGAAUAAAGCUGUGAAAGAAGUGUUUUUAGUGAAAACAGCAGGGGGAGAUGUGGGAGUCCAGAGUGUUCCCCUGGCCUCCUUGGGCAUCUCAAAACCCCCCUGGCGAGGGACUCAAAGA